This 762-nucleotide ribosomal RNA is filed under the name Eleocharis sphacelata. RNAcentral describes it as "eukaryotic LSU rRNA". The stretch from base 331 to 485 matches the Rfam family "5.8S ribosomal RNA". The record is from RNAcentral. Lineage: Eukaryota; Viridiplantae; Streptophyta; Magnoliopsida; Poales; Cyperaceae.
GGCGGUUCGCCGCCUGUGACGUCGCGAGAAGUCCACUGAACCUUAUCAUUUAGAGGAAGGAGAAGUCGUAACAAGGUUUCCGUAGGUGAACCUGCGGAAGGAUCAUUGCUGUUGCCUCUUGAGAACACGACCGUUGCACAAGUAACCUAAAAUCUGCCGAGGAGUUGCUCCCUCGGUUCCAUCGGGCCACGAACGUGUUUUCUCUUCGGGGUGCACCGGGCGUGGUUCCGGAAUACGGCGUGAGAUUACGCCAAGGAACACACACUGCCGAGCAGACGGUGAUGCUUCGGCGUCAUGCGGUCUGUCGAGGCCAAAGUAAUAAAUUGAGAUGACUCCCGGCAACGGAUAUCUCGGCUCUCGCAUCGAUGAAGAACGUAGCGAAAUGCGAUACAUGGUGUGAAUUGCAGAAUCCCGUGAACCAUCGAGUCUUUGAACGCAAGUUGCGCCCGAGGGACCAUCCCGAGGGCACGCCUGCCUCAUGGGCGUUAGAAGCCCAUCCACGCUCGGCGUAGCUGCAUUGCAGCAUGCACCGAUGCGGACAUUGGCCCUCCGAGCCGUGAGGCACGACGGGCACAAGUGUAUGGCCAUCGGCUGAGGCCGGGAGCAGCGAGUGGUGGGCUACUGCGCACGCUGCCUUCGGAUCGAAUGCCGAUUGAGGGCCAAGUUCGACCCCAAAACGAUGUCUGUCGUCGUGUGCGGCAGCUUCGGACCAAUACCCCAGGUCAGGCGUGGCUACCCGCUGAGUUUAAGCAUAUAAAUAAG